UACUUCCGUUAGCCUCGUGAGCGAGGGGU
RNAcentral lists this small RNA (29 nucleotides) under Bombyx mori (domestic silkworm). RNAcentral describes it as "ovarian small RNA-21625". The record is from RNAcentral. Lineage: Eukaryota; Metazoa; Arthropoda; Insecta; Lepidoptera; Bombycidae.